AUUGAACGCUGGCGGCAUGCCUUACACAUGCAAGUCGAACGGCAGCACGGGUGCUUGCACCUGGUGGCGAGUGGCGAACGGGUGAGUAAUACAUCGGAACGUACCUUAUUGUGGGGGAUAACGCAGCGAAAGUUGCGCUAAUACCGCAUACGCCCUGAGGGGGAAAGCGGGGGACCGUAAGGCCUCGCGCGAUUAGAGCGGCCGAUGUCUGAUUAGCUUGUUGGUGGGGUAAAAGCUCACCAAGGCGAUGAUCAGUAGCUGGUCUGAGAGGACGAUCAGCCACACUGGGACUGAGACACGGCCCAGACUCCUACGGGAGGCAGCAGUGGGGAAUUUUGGACGAUGGGGGCAACCCUGAUCCAGCAAUGCCGCGUGAGUGAAGAAGGCCUUCGGGUUGUAAAGCUCUUUUGUCAGGGAAGAAACAGCAGCUCUAACACAGUCUGCGAAUGACGGUACCUGAAGAAUAAGCACCGGCUAACUACGUGCCAGCAGCCGCGGUAA
RNAcentral lists this ribosomal RNA (501 nucleotides) under uncultured bacterium. RNAcentral's name for it is "partial 16S ribosomal RNA". It matches the Rfam family "Bacterial small subunit ribosomal RNA", at positions 30 to 523 of the family's 1533-position model. The record is from RNAcentral.